UCAACAAGACGGAAGAAUUGUAAACCGGAAGAUACAGUGUCCUGCCAGAGAGCACUCGUCAUCACACGUUUUCAGUGUUUGAAGAGAGGAUCAAGAUACAGAUUUAAGACAAAAGGCAUCAAUUACGAUCGUUUAAAUAACUUGCCCAGAGCACAGCAUCUCGUGUACAGCCUGAAGUUUUUAGCUAUCAAGAUUUCUAGAGACUCCAGAAUGAAAACCAAGCCCUGCACUGCCAAAAAUGA
Molecule: non-coding RNA, 242 nt
Organism: Paramisgurnus dabryanus
Lineage: Eukaryota; Metazoa; Chordata; Actinopteri; Cypriniformes; Cobitidae
Source: RefSeq, a predicted model, not a curated record